CUAUAUUCAACCUGCCGCUUCGUGCGGCUAUGGCGAUAAACGACGCCGAAAUAAGCUCUUCGGACCCGGGGGCGGUACCCGGCGCCUCCACCUAAGUCCGGCAUCGAUCAUGCAAUGUGCGGAUUUGGGUGGGGGCGAAAUAGGUUCGACGGGGAGUGUAAAGGGUGCUCUUUUGCUCGGCAUGGUUCCGCCGUCAUCGGGCCGAUUCUAUAGUUGCCAACGACAACUAUGCUCCGGUGGCCCUCGCCGCGUAAUGCGGUAACGGUACCGAUUCAAAGCCCUUGGGGGUAGCACUCUAAGGCGGGGUUCGGAGGCACCUGGCAACAGAAGCCUCCACUUCGCUGA
This 345-nucleotide transfer-messenger RNA is filed under the name Methylovirgula sp. HY1. Its description in RNAcentral is "transfer-messenger RNA, SsrA". It matches the Rfam family "Alphaproteobacteria transfer-messenger RNA". From Rfam's summary of the family: Bacterial tmRNA, also known as 10Sa RNA or SsrA, is named for its dual tRNA and mRNA-like properties. Its role is to liberate the mRNA from a stalled ribosome. Lineage: Bacteria; Pseudomonadati; Pseudomonadota; Alphaproteobacteria; Hyphomicrobiales; Beijerinckiaceae. The record is from RNAcentral.